Molecule: non-coding RNA, 1040 nt
Organism: Aegilops tauschii subsp. strangulata
Lineage: Eukaryota; Viridiplantae; Streptophyta; Magnoliopsida; Poales; Poaceae
Source: RefSeq, a predicted model, not a curated record
CAUAUGCAGACCUAUUUGUGUUAUAUAUAAGUCAGGCCUUUGUUCUCUUCAAAUCAUUACUCUGCAUUGAGUUUAUCUAUUAGUACAACUCAAAGUGGCAGGACAUGUAUCUGUUACAUUUUUCUGACUUCGACUAUGUGAGUGCACUGUAAUCCAAGAGAUUGUUCUUCAUUCUUCUUGCAGGAAAGACGUGAUAAUUAGGAAAAUUUUGCUGAUGCAUUGUCAGAGAGUUUUGGUCGACUAAUGGCAAUCCGUCUCCUAUCGCGUCAAAAUCUGAGGAAUCUGGUCGGUGUAGUCUUGUAGCAUGGUCAGAUUCAGACUCAGCUAUUUUUUUCUUUUUUGUUCCUACAAGAUGUUCAGCUUAGCUUUAAAUACAGUAAAUUUGGAUACUGGAAAUGUUAUAUGACUCUGUUCUCCAUGUAUCCAGCAUUAUCCAUGUUGCUCUUGACAUUGAUGCUUUAUGAACAAGUAGAACACACCUGACAAGACAGCUGUCAAUGAAUGCUAUGAGGUUUAGGAGAGACUUUGUGGAUGUUUUUGCCUGUUACCACGUGUUGGCCACUAGAACAAGUAGACAUUUUAGAUGGCCCUUUUUUGUCUGUACGUUGUGUAUGUCAUCUGUUAGAACUGGGAUUGUUUUUGGUUUUGGCCUUGAUAAUACUAACUCUACCCUUUAGUUCAAUCAGUUUCAAGGCCGCCCUUUUGCUCUCCACAAUUCAGCCCUCUAUUUUCCUGUUUGAAAAAGAUGUGCUUAUGUCAUUGUGUUUGUUGAACUGUACAGCAUAACAACAGUGGAGUGACUUGCAGGUGCCUCAUGUGGAUUUUAUGGCUUAAGCCAAGAGGAGAAAGAAAGGGCUCUGCAUAUGAAAAGAUACCAACAUUAUUGUUUCCAUGAAAUUGGUUGGAAGAAAAGAAGAAGAUCCAGAGAAGAUCUUAGUAAUAAGAUAGUUUUUAGGAAAAUAGAUAUUUAGUUUUAGGUCAUUUCUUCUAAUUUCAGAUAUGGAGUGCUUGUCUUUAGUUUUUGUUUUGACUUUGUGAAA